GAUGAACGCUGGCGGCGUGCCUAAUACAUGCAAGUCGAGCGAACGGACGAGAAGCUUGCUUCUCUGAUGUUAGCGGCGGACGGGUGAGUAACACGUGGAUAACCUACCUAUAAGACUGGGAUAACUUCGGGAAACCGGAGCUAAUACCGGAUAAUAUUUUGAACCGCAUGGUUCAAAAGUGAAAGACGGUCUUGCUGUCACUUAUAGAUGGAUCCGCGCUGCAUUAGCUAGUUGGCAAGGUAACGGCUUACCAAGGCAACGAUGCAUAGCCGACCUGAGAGGGUGAUCGGCCACACUGGAACUGAGACACGGUCCAGACUCCUACGGGAGGCAGCAGUAGGGAAUCUUCCGCAAUGGGCGAAAGCCUGACGGAGCAACGCCGCGUGAGUGAUGAAGGUCUUCGGAUCGUAAAACUCUGUUAUUAGGGAAGAACAUAUGUGUAAGUAACUGUGCACAUCUUGACGGUACCUAAUCAGAAAGCCACGGCUAACUACGUG
This 497-nucleotide ribosomal RNA is filed under the name uncultured bacterium. Its description in RNAcentral is "partial 16S ribosomal RNA". It matches the Rfam family "Bacterial small subunit ribosomal RNA", at positions 28 to 507 of the family's 1533-position model. The record is from RNAcentral.